AAACCGGAGCUAAUACCGGAUAAUAUAUUGAACCGCAUGGUUCAAUAGUGAAAGACGGUUUUGCUGUCACUUAUAGAUGGAUCCGCGCUGCAUUAGCUAGUUGGUAAGGUAACGGCUUACCAAGGCAACGAUGCGUAGCCGACCUGAGAGGGUGAUCGGCCACACUGGAACUGAGACACGGUCCAGACUCCUACGGGAGGCAGCAGAC
This 208-nucleotide ribosomal RNA is filed under the name uncultured Staphylococcus sp. RNAcentral describes it as "partial 16S ribosomal RNA". It matches the Rfam family "Bacterial small subunit ribosomal RNA", at positions 154 to 354 of the family's 1533-position model. Lineage: Bacteria; Bacillati; Bacillota; Bacilli; Caryophanales; Staphylococcaceae. The record is from RNAcentral.